CCCCACACGCACUCAGACUAGACCCUCCGUACACACCCAGGCUAGACCCUCCAUACUCACCCAGGCUAGACCCUCCAUACACACCCAGGCUAGACCCUCCAUACACACCCAGGCUAGACCCUCCAUACUCACCCAGGCUAGACCCUCCAUACUCACCCAGGCUAGAUCCUCCAUACACACCCAGGCUAGACCCUCCGUACACACCCAGACUAGAGGCUUGGGGCUGAGAAAAGCAGUCAUGCCUCUUCAGGAAUUACCAGC
RNAcentral lists this long non-coding RNA (261 nucleotides) under Homo sapiens (human). RNAcentral describes it as "HSALNT0254091". Lineage: Eukaryota; Metazoa; Chordata; Mammalia; Primates; Hominidae. The record is from RNAcentral.